GAUGAAGAACGCAGCGAAAUGCGAUAAGUAAUGUGAAUUGCAGAAUUCAGUGAAUCAUCGAAUCUUUGAACGCAUCUUGCGCUCCUUGGUAUUCUGAGGAGCAUGCCUGUUUGAGUGUCAUUAAAUUCUCAACUACACUGACUUUGAAUUGGUGUGGCUUGGAUUUGGGGGGAAAAUUGUUGUGGGCUUUUUGUAUAGUCUGCUCCCCUGAAAUUGAUUAGCGGUACCUUUGUGGAACUGUCUACAGGUGUGAUAAUUAUCUACAUCUUAGACAUCUGCUGGAAUGCUGCUUUCUAAACCUUACUUGUAUUGACAAUCUUGACCUCAAAUCAGGUAGGACUACCCGCUGAACUUAAGCAAAUCAAUAAGCGGAGGA
RNAcentral lists this unclassified non-coding RNA (376 nucleotides) under soil metagenome. RNAcentral's name for it is "partial contains 5.8S ribosomal RNA, internal transcribed spacer 2, and large subunit ribosomal RNA". The stretch from base 1 to 120 matches the Rfam family "5.8S ribosomal RNA", at positions 35 to 154 of the family's 154-position model. The record is from RNAcentral.